Molecule: ribosomal RNA, 432 nt
Filed under: uncultured bacterium
Lineage: Bacteria
Description: partial 16S ribosomal RNA
Rfam family: Bacterial small subunit ribosomal RNA
Source: RNAcentral
AACGAACGCUGGCGGCAGGCCUAACACAUGCAAGUCGAGCGGACCCUUCGGGGUUAGCGGCGGACGGGUGAGUAACGCGUGGGAACGUGCCCUUUGCUUCGGAAUAGCCCUGGGAAACUGGGAGUAAUACCGGAUACGCCCUUUUGGGGAAAGAUUUAUCGGCGAAGGAUCGGCCCGCGUUGGAUUAGGUAGUUGGUGGGGUAAUGGCCUACCAAGCCGACGAUCCAUAGCUGGUUUGAGAGGAUGAUCAGCCACACUGGGACUGAGACACGGCCCAGACUCCUACGGGAGGCAGCAGUGGGGAAUCUUAGACAAUGGGGGAAACCCUGAUCUAGCCAUGCCGCGUGAGCGAUGAAGGCCUUAGGGUUGUAAAGCUCUUUCACCGGGGAAGAUAAUGACGGUACCCGGAGAAGAAGCCCCGGCGAACUCCGG